RNAcentral lists this ribosomal RNA (573 nucleotides) under uncultured bacterium. RNAcentral describes it as "bacterial SSU rRNA". It matches the Rfam family "Bacterial small subunit ribosomal RNA", at positions 372 to 939 of the family's 1533-position model. The record is from RNAcentral.
CAUGCGCAGCUGAUCCUGCAUGCCGCGUGUGUGAAGAAGGCCUGCGGGUUGUAAAGCACUUUAAGCAGGGAAGAAUGGGCUAAAGCUAAUACCUUUGGUCAGUGACGUUACCUGCAGAAUAAGCACCGGCUAACUCCGUGCCAGCAGCCGCGGUAAUAUGGAGGGUGCGAGCGUUAAUCGGAAUUACUGGGCGUAAAGCGCGCGUAGGCGGUUGGCUAAGUUUGCUGUGAAAGCCCCGGGCUUAACCUGGGAACUGCAGUGAAUACUGGUCGGCUAGAGUAUGGUAGAGGGUAGUGGAAUUUCCGGUGUAGCAGUGAAAUGCGUAGAGAUCGGAAGGAACACCAGUGGCGAAGGCGGCUAUCUGGACCAAUACUGACGCUGAGGUGCGAAAGCGUGGGGAGCAAACAGGAUUAGAUACCCUGGUAGUCCACGCCCUAAACGAUGAGAACUAGCCGUUGGGUCCGGUUACGGAUUUAGUGGCGCAGCUAACGCGUUAAGUUCUCCGCCUGGGGAGUACGGCCGCCAGGGUUAAACUCAAAUGAAUUGACGGGGGCCCGCACAAGCGGUGGAGCA